Molecule: RNA transcript, 1846 nt
Organism: Solanum dulcamara
Lineage: Eukaryota; Viridiplantae; Streptophyta; Magnoliopsida; Solanales; Solanaceae
Gene name: 9-divinyl ether synthase-like
Exons: 4
Source: RefSeq, a predicted model, not a curated record
AUGGGAGAGAAAUUGAAGGAUAUGGGGGUCUGGGAUACUAGUGGGGAUGCGAAUGAUAUGUGGGAUAGGACAGCUAGUUAUAUUAGGGUUGUAGCAAAGGAAGUGCUAGGAGUCUCAACAGGCAGUCAUAGUCAGCAUCGAGGGGACUGGGUUCAAUGCUUAUGGUCACUGAUCAAGUGGGUUGCUAGUGGAGGAAAGAGUUUACACGCUCGGCUAGCAAAUGAAAUCACGAUGAUCAUCACUCUAUCAGCAGUCAACAAGAUGAGUUUGACUAAAUCAACGGUGUAUGAAGUGUUGAGAAUUGAACCUCCAACGCCGUUUCAAUAUGAAAUAAUACAAAUUGCUAGUUGCUCUGAAUUAUCAAACUUCCGGUUCAUGAAAUCCCUGGGGACUAUGGUUUCCCUAUAAUUAGCGCGCUUAAAGAUCGAUACGAUUAUUUCUAUAACCAAGGUGAAGAUGCUUGGUUCCAUAACAAAGCUGAAAAAUACAAAUCCACUGUUGUCAAAAUCAACAUGGCACCAGGUCCAUUCACCUCUAAUGACUACAAAUUGGUGGCAUUUCUAGAUGCCACCAGUUUUGUUUACAUGUUUGAUAAUUCCCUCAUCGACAAAACUGACACUCUUGGUGGUACAUUUAAGCCCGGUAAAGAAUAUUACGGCGGUUAUCGUCCCCUUGCUUUCGUCGAUACGAAAGAUCCGAACCAUGCCGCACUAAAAGGCUACAUUAUUUCUUCGUUCGCAAAGAGACAUAACUUAUUCAUUCCUCUAUUCAGGAGCUCAUUGUCUGAUCACCUUUUUAAUAAUCUCGAAAAACAGGUUACCGAACAGGGGAAAUCGGAUUUCAACGCCCUCCUCCCCACUAUGACGUUUGGUUUCAUUUUUCGUUUGCUUUGUGAUCAGACUAAUCCGAUUGAUACAGUUCUUGGCGCUCAAGGACCGGAACAUCUUCGUAAAUGGCUUUUCCCACAGCUAAUUCCAUCCUUGAGCGCGAAGAAACUUCCAAACUUCAUAGAAGAUAUCCUCUUCCAUAAUUUUCUAAUACCAUUUGGUUUUGUGAAAAGUGAUUACAACAAACUUGUUGAUGUAUUUAGCAAGUCUGCAGUGUCCAUGUUGGAUGAAGCCGAAAAACUUGGAAUCAAAAGAGAAGAAGCCGUACAUAACAUGCUUUUUCUCGUGGGGAUCAAUAUGUUCGCCGGCUUGAACGCUUUCUUUCCUCAUCUCUUAAGGUUUGUGGGAGAAGCAGGGUCUAGUCUACACACACGACUAGUUAACGAAAUCAGGACCGCUAUUAAGGAAGAAGGUGGAGCAAUCACAUUAUCAGCAAUCAACAAAAUGAGUUUGGUCAAAUCUGUAGUCUACGAAACAUUGAGGCUUCGCCCACCUGUACCAUUACAGUACGGUAAGGCGAAGAAAGACUUCAUGGUCCAAAGCCACGAUGCGUCUUACAAGAUCAAUAAAGGACAAUUCGUCGUUGGAUAUCAACCCAUGGCUACUAGGGACCCUAAAAUUUUCGCGAAUCCUGAUGAGUUCGUUCCCGAUAGGUUCAUGAAUGAUGGUGAGAAAAUGCUGAAACAUGUUCUAUGGUCUAAUGGAAGGGCAACGGAGGAACCAGCACCAGACAACAAGCAAUGUCCAGGGAAAGACAUGGUGCACCUAUUGGGUAGGUUAAUUUUGGUGGAGUUUUUCAUGAGAUACGAUACGUUCACCGUGGAAAUUACACCCCUAUUUCGUGCACCAAAUGUUGCUAUCAAGACAUUAACUAAAGCAUCUGUGUGAUCAAAGUGUGUGCAUUGGAUCUCUCGUAUUGAAUUUUAUUAAUUUGGAUUGUAUUGUAUUAUAUUUAUUUA